UCCUAAAGCCUUGAAUCUUUUCUCCGAUUCAUGUGUAUGGGAAGCUGUAUAAAUACUAGCCCUUGUGCUGACCUUGUGCUGAGCAAGCCAUAGCCAUGGAACCGUGCAGGCGACGUAAAAUUUUUAAAGCUUAUGAAUACAUAUUUAGACAUGGAUGCUAUUUUCCUGGAUUAUUCUAAAGAGAAAACCUUCUAGGAAAAAUGGGCUGGCUCUGUUCACAAGGGGAGGAAGCAGAGAAUUUUCAGUCGAAGCAGUGAGGAACCUUAAGAACCCAAAGGGGAAACAGAGCUGACAGAGGGGGAAAAGAGAGAAGGAAGAAGAAAAAGGAAAAGAUGAUGAAAGAAAAACUUCAUGAUAACAUGGAUCGUUAUAAAAACACCAGACCCUUUUACUCAAGCAGCUGGUUCUCUAAUGAUUAGUUUCAUUAAUUCCUUCUAAAUGUGUAAUUAUUUUAAGAAAUGAAAGAUUUAAGAUAAACUUGGGAUGAAAUGACUGCAUCUACUAAUCAUCUCAUUUUAAAUUUUAACAUAUAUUUACCUUCCACAGUGGUUGUCCUAAUUUAAAACCCUAUCUGCCA
This 577-nucleotide long non-coding RNA is filed under the name Sus scrofa (pig). Its description in RNAcentral is "lncRNA (ENSSSCG00060074063.1, ENSSSCG00070021203.1)". The record is from RNAcentral. Lineage: Eukaryota; Metazoa; Chordata; Mammalia; Artiodactyla; Suidae.